RNAcentral lists this ribosomal RNA (490 nucleotides) under uncultured Acidobacteriota bacterium. RNAcentral describes it as "bacterial SSU rRNA". It matches the Rfam family "Bacterial small subunit ribosomal RNA", at positions 156 to 638 of the family's 1533-position model. The record is from RNAcentral. Lineage: Bacteria; Pseudomonadati; Acidobacteriota.
CGGCCGGGUAAUACCGCAUACGGUGGUUCUUUCGCAUGGAAGGACUAGCAAAGCCGUGCAGCAAUGCACUGGCGCCACAGGGGGGGCUCGCGGCCUAUCAGCUAGUUGGGGGGGUAAUGGCCCACCAAGGCGACGACGGGUAGCUGGUCUGAGAGGAUGGCCAGCCACACUGGAACUGAGACACGGUCCAGACUCCUACGGGAGGCAGCAGUGGGGAAUCUGCCCAUUGGCCAAAAGCCUGUUGCAGCGACGCCGCGUGGGGGAUGAAGCUUCUCGGAGUGUAAACCCCUUUCGACCGGGACGAAUACCUCGCAAGAGGGGUGACGGUACCGGUAUAAGAAGCCCCGGCUAACUACGUGCCAGCAGCCGCGGUAAGACGUAGGGGGCCAGCGUUGCUCGGAAUUACUGGGUGUAAAGGGUUCGUAGGCGGUGUGGCAAGUCGGGAGUGAAAUCUCUGGGCUCAACCCAGGGGCUGCUUCCGAAACUGCCG